This 2935-nucleotide ribosomal RNA is filed under the name Providencia rettgeri. RNAcentral describes it as "23S ribosomal RNA". It matches the Rfam family "Bacterial large subunit ribosomal RNA". Lineage: Bacteria; Pseudomonadati; Pseudomonadota; Gammaproteobacteria; Enterobacterales; Morganellaceae. The record is from RNAcentral.
GGGUUGUGAGGUUAAGCGACUAAGCGUACACGGUGGAUGCCUAGGCAAUCAGAGGCGAUGAAGGACGUGCUAAUCUGCGAUAAGCGUCGGUAAGGUGAUAUGAACCGUUACAACCGACGAUUUCCGAAUGGGGAAACCCAGUGCAAUUCGUUGCACUAUCGUUUGAUGAAUACAUAGUCAAACGAAGCGAACCGGGGGAACUGAAACAUCUCAGUAUCCCGAGGAAAAGAAAUCAACCGAGAUUCCCCUAGUAGCGGCGAGCGAACGGGGAGCAGCCCAGAGUCUUAAUCAGCAUUAGCAUCAGGAGAACGGUCUGGAAAGUCCGGCAGUAAAGGGUGAUAGCCCCGUAUCCGAAGGUGUUAGUGUUGUGAACUCGACGAGUAGGGCGGGACACGUGUUAUCCUGUCUGAAUAUGGGGGGACCAUCCUCCAAGGCUAAAUACUCCUGAUUGACCGAUAGUGAACCAGUACCGUGAGGGAAAGGCGAAAAGAACCCCGGCGAGGGGAGUGAAAUAGAACCUGAAACCGUGUACGUACAAGCAGUGGGAGCCUUGAUUUAUCAGGGUGACUGCGUACCUUUUGUAUAAUGGGUCAGCGACUUAUAUUCUGUAGCAAGGUUAACCGUAUAGGGGAGCCGUAGGGAAACCGAGUCUUAACUGGGCGAAUAAGUUGCAGGGUAUAGACCCGAAACCCGGUGAUCUAGCCAUGGGCAGGUUGAAGGUUGGGUAACACUAACUGGAGGACCGAACCGACUAAUGUUGAAAAAUUAGCGGAUGACUUGUGGCUGGGGUGAAAGGCCAAUCAAACCGGGAGAUAGCUGGUUCUCCCCGAAAGCUAUUUAGGUAGCGCCUCGUGAACUCAUCUUCGGGGGUAGAGCACUGUUUCGACUAGGGGGUCAUCCCGACUUACCAACUCGAUGCAAACUACGAAUACCGAAGAAUGUUAUCACGGGAGACACACGGCGGGUGCUAACGUUCGUCGAAGAGGGAAACAACCCAGACCGCCAGCUAAGGUCCCAAAGUCAUAGUUAAGUGGGAAACGAAGUGGGAAGGCUCAGACAGCCAGGAUGUUGGCUUAGAAGCAGCCAUCAUUUAAAGAAAGCGUAAUAGCUCACUGGUCGAGUCGGCCUGCGCGGAAGAUGUAACGGGGCUAAACUAUGCACCGAAGCUGCGGCAGCGAUAUGUAAAUAUUGUUGGGUAGGGGAGCGUUCUGUAAGCCUGUGAAGGUGUGCUGUGAGGCAUGCUGGAGGUAUCAGAAGUGCGAAUGCUGACAUAAGUAACGAUAAUGCGGGUGAAAAACCCGCACGCCGGAAGACCAAGGGUUCCUGUCCAACGUUAAUCGGGGCAGGGUGAGUCGACCCUAAGGCGAGGCAGAAAUGCGUAGUCGAUGGGAAACGGGUUAAUAUUCCCGUACUGGUGAUAAUUGCGAUGGGGGGACGGAGAAGGCUAGGCUAUCCGGGCGACGGUUGUCCCGGUUUAAGGAUGUAGGCAGGUGAAUUAGGCAAAUCCGGUUCACUAUAUGCUGAGGUCCGAUGACGAGUCACUACGGUGAUGAAGUAGCUCAUGCCCCGCUUCCAGGAAAAGCCUCUAAGCUCUAGAUUAUCAUUAAUCGUACCCCAAACCGACACAGGUGGUCAGGUAGAGAAUACUCAGGCGCUUGAGAGAACUCGGGUGAAGGAACUAGGCAAAAUGGUGCCGUAACUUCGGGAGAAGGCACGCUGGCAUUAGGUGAAGUGAUUUACUCAUGGAGCUGAAGCCAGUCGCAGAUACCAGCUGGCUGCAACUGUUUAUUAAAAACACAGCACUGUGCAAACACGAAAGUGGACGUAUACGGUGUGACGCCUGCCCGGUGCUGGAAGGUUAAUUGAUGGGGUUAUCCGUAAGGAGAAGCUCUUGAUCGAAGCCCCAGUAAACGGCGGCCGUAACUAUAACGGUCCUAAGGUAGCGAAAUUCCUUGUCGGGUAAGUUCCGACCUGCACGAAUGGCGUAAUGAUGGCCAGGCUGUCUCCACCCGAGACUCAGUGAAAUUGAACUCGCUGUGAAGAUGCAGUGUACCCGCGGCAAGACGGAAAGACCCCGUGAACCUUUACUAUAGCUUGACACUGAACAUUGAGCCUUGAUGUGUAGGAUAGGUGGGAGGCUUCGAAGCGUGGACGCCAGUCUGCGUGGAGCCAACCUUGAAAUACCACCCUUUAAUGUUUGAUGUUCUAACGUUGCCCCAUUAUCUGGGGUGCGGACAGUGUCUGGUGGGUAGUUUGACUGGGGCGGUCUCCUCCCAAAGAGUAACGGAGGAGCACGAAGGUUGGCUAAGCAUGGUCGGACAUCAUGCGGUUAGUGCAAAGGCAUAAGCCAGCUUGACUGCGAGAGUGACGGCUCGAGCAGGUACGAAAGUAGGUCUUAGUGAUCCGGUGGUUCUGAAUGGAAGGGCCAUCGCUCAACGGAUAAAAGGUACUCCGGGGAUAACAGGCUGAUACCGCCCAAGAGUUCAUAUCGACGGCGGUGUUUGGCACCUCGAUGUCGGCUCAUCACAUCCUGGGGCUGAAGUAGGUCCCAAGGGUACGGCUGUUCGCCGUUUAAAGUGGUACGCGAGCUGGGUUUAGAACGUCGUGAGACAGUUCGGUCCCUAUCUGCCGUGGGCGUUGGAAGAUUGAAAGGGGCUGCUCCUAGUACGAGAGGACCGGAGUGGACGCACCACUGGUGUUCGGGUUGUCAUGCCAAUGGCAUUGCCCGGUAGCUAAGUGCGGAAGAGAUAACCGCUGAAAGCAUCUAAGCGGGAAACUUGCCUUGAGAUGAGUCUUCCCUGACCCUUUAAGGGUCCUAAAGGAACGUUUAAGACUAAGACGUUGAUAGGUUGGGUGUGUAAGCGUAGCGAUACGUUGAGCUAACCAAUACUAAUGAACCGUGAGGCUUAACCUGACAACACCGAAGGUGUUUUAG